This 180-nucleotide ribosomal RNA is filed under the name Triticum aestivum (bread wheat). RNAcentral describes it as "partial small subunit ribosomal RNA". Lineage: Eukaryota; Viridiplantae; Streptophyta; Magnoliopsida; Poales; Poaceae. The record is from RNAcentral.
AUGGGAUUUGUUCUUUUAGGUCAUCCGCGUUACCACAAAUUUUGCGUAAACAAAAUUUGCAGGACUACGCCUGUUUACAUAACAAAUCCUAUGGUAGGUCGCAAAUUGGGGGAAUUCGUGCCUACUCGGCAUUUCACGAGUUCUGAAAAUGCAAGAAAGAAUACUAAAUCUCGUCGUUAA